Molecule: ribosomal RNA, 255 nt
Filed under: Clostridioides difficile
Lineage: Bacteria; Bacillati; Bacillota; Clostridia; Peptostreptococcales; Peptostreptococcaceae
Description: partial 16S ribosomal RNA
Rfam family: Bacterial small subunit ribosomal RNA
Source: RNAcentral
CACUCUAGAGAGACUGCCAGGGAUAACCUGGAGGAAGGUGGGGAUGACGUCAAAUCAUCAUGCCCCUUAUGCUUAGGGCUACACACGUGCUACAAUGGGUAGUACAGAGGGUUGCCAAGCCGUAAGGCGGAGCUAAUCCCUUAAAGCUACUCUCAGUUCGGAUUGUAGGCUGAAACUCGCCUACAUGAAGCUGGAGUUACUAGUAAUCGCAGAUCAGAAUGCUGCGGGGAAUGCGUUCCCGGGUCUUGUACACAC